CUACGGGUUGCACCAGUGAGGAAUAUUGCGCAAUGGGGGCAACCCUGACGCAGCGACGCCGCGUGAGUGAGGAAGGCCUUCGGGUCGUAAAGCUCUGUCAAGAGGAAAGAAGUGCAUAGUAGUUAAUACCUGCUAUGUUUGACGGUACCUCUAAAGGAAGCACCGGCUAGCUCCGUGCCAGCAGCCGCGGUAAUACGGAGGGUGCAAGCGUUGUUCGGAAUCACUGGGCGUAAAGGGCGCGCAGGCGGCCUGGUAAGUCAGAUGUGAAAGCCCACGGCUUAACCGUGGAAGUGCAUUUGAAACUGUCAGGCUUGAGUACCAGAGGGGAAAGUGGAAUUCCCGGUGUAGAGGUGAAUUCGUAGAUAUCGGGAGGAAUACCGGUGGCGAAGGCGACUUUCUGGCUGAGUACUGACGCUGAGGCGCGAAAGCGUGGGGAGCAAACAGGAUUAGAUACCCCUGUAGUC
This 464-nucleotide ribosomal RNA is filed under the name uncultured bacterium. Its description in RNAcentral is "partial 16S ribosomal RNA". It matches the Rfam family "Bacterial small subunit ribosomal RNA", at positions 339 to 795 of the family's 1533-position model. The record is from RNAcentral.